CAGCCGCCGCGGGAAUACGUAGGGUGCGAGCGUUAAUCGGAAUUACUGGGCGUAAAGCGUGCGUAGGCGGUGAGUUAAGUCUGCUGUGAAAUCCCCGGGCUCAACCUGGGAAUGGCAGUGGAUACUGGCUCGCUAGAGUGUGUCAGAGGACGGUGGAAUUCCCGGUGUAGCGGUGAAAUGCGUAGAGAUCGGGAGGAACAUCAGUGGCGAAGGCGGCCAUCUGGGACAACACUGACGCUGAGGCACGAAAGCGUGGGGAGCAAACAGGAUUAGAGACCCCGGUAGUCCCUGUCUCUUAUAA
Molecule: ribosomal RNA, 301 nt
Filed under: uncultured bacterium
Lineage: Bacteria
Description: partial 16S ribosomal RNA
Rfam family: Bacterial small subunit ribosomal RNA
Source: RNAcentral